Molecule: long non-coding RNA, 627 nt
Filed under: Rattus norvegicus (Norway rat)
Lineage: Eukaryota; Metazoa; Chordata; Mammalia; Rodentia; Muridae
Description: long non-coding RNA NONRATT007798
Source: RNAcentral
CCGUUGACACCGUCUUGAUGGUUUUAUUUACAACGAAUGUUCUUAUUUUCAUUCACUCAUAAGAAAGCUUGCUGUGCGUCAUUAUUCAGGAUCCCAGAAAGGGACCUUUUUCUUGGGUUUCCUUCACAAUGCCACAUGACGCGACAUAGGAAACCAUUGCUCACUGGAGCAGAUAUGCCCAGGAACCACCAGACACCUCUUCUGUAGAGAAAGCUUUCAGCAAAGGUCAGGCCAGAGAGAACUUAGGACAAUAAACUGCGUGUCUGGUUUUGGGUUUUGAAGCCUGUGGGAAGAUGUGGGUGUUCUCACUCCUUUCCUACAGGAUAUACCCCAGUGGCUGGGUCCAUUUGCCGAAAUUCUGUGAAUGUGAAAAAGAAACUACUGAUGAGAGUCACACUUCUGAAGACUAUUAAAUUAUUUAACACUCAUCACCCUGUCUCCCUUUAUGGCUUUUUUAAUGGUGGGGGUGGGAAUUCUCACCACCAGGACUUUGCAACAGCGCCUACUACUAAGCGGUACAGUCAGGUCCAAUGUCUUACUUUCUAAAAUGUGUGCUUCUAGGGUACGUGAUUUGUAUCAGGAACCAACAAGCAAAGUCCCUUAAAGCUGGCUGUUUCUUGGGGGCUG